GUCUUUUUGAUUAUAAUUUAAGGUCUAAUCUGCUCAAUGAAAAUUUAAAUAGCCGCAGUAUCUUGACUGUGCAAAGGUAGCAUAAUAAUUAGUCUCUUAAUUAGAGACUUGUAUGAAUGAUUGGACAAGAAAAUUUCUGUCUCUUAUUAAUUUUUUUUGAACUUAAUUUUUAAGUUAAAAUGCUUAAAUUUUUGUAAAAGACGAGAAGACCCCAUAGAGUUUUAUUUUCAUUUAUUUUUAGCAUAAUUUAUUAAAUGAUAAAUUGGUUGGGGUGACUUAAAGAUUGAAUAAACUCUUUAAAUUUAAAUCAUUGAUUUAUGAAUUAUUAGUCUAAUUUUUUAAGUUUAAAUUAAAUUACCUUGGGGAUAACAGCGUAAUUUCUUUUAAGAGUUCUUAUCAAAUAAGAAGAUUGCGACCUCGAUGUUGGAUUAAAAUUUAUUUUAGGUGCAGAAGCUUGAAAAUUAAGCCUGUUCGACUUUUAAAA
Molecule: ribosomal RNA, 484 nt
Filed under: Pyrocoelia motschulskyi
Lineage: Eukaryota; Metazoa; Arthropoda; Insecta; Coleoptera; Lampyridae
Description: partial 16S ribosomal RNA
Rfam family: Bacterial large subunit ribosomal RNA
Source: RNAcentral